AGGUGAUUAUAGCGAUGGGGCUCACCUCUUACCAUUCCGAACAGAGAAGUUAAGCCCAUUAGCGCCGAUGGUACUGCCACAGGUGGGAGAGUAGGUCGUUGCCUUCCU
RNAcentral lists this ribosomal RNA (108 nucleotides) under Tenacibaculum maritimum. Lineage: Bacteria; Pseudomonadati; Bacteroidota; Flavobacteriia; Flavobacteriales; Flavobacteriaceae. The record is from RNAcentral.